RNAcentral lists this ribosomal RNA (201 nucleotides) under Salmonella enterica subsp. enterica serovar Typhimurium. Its description in RNAcentral is "partial 23S ribosomal RNA". It matches the Rfam family "Bacterial large subunit ribosomal RNA", at positions 215 to 454 of the family's 2925-position model. The record is from RNAcentral. Lineage: Bacteria; Pseudomonadati; Pseudomonadota; Gammaproteobacteria; Enterobacterales; Enterobacteriaceae.
GGAAAAGAAAUCAACCGAGAUUCCCCCAGUAGCGGCGAGCGAACGGGGAGGAGCCCAGAGCCUGAAUCAGCAUGUGUGUUAGUGGAAGCGUCUGGAAAGGCGCGCGAUACAGGGUGACAGCCCCGUACACAAAAGCGCAUGUGCUGUGAGCUCGAUGAGUAGGGCGGGACACGUGGUAUCCUGUCUGAAUAUGGGGGGACC